Molecule: ribosomal RNA, 622 nt
Filed under: uncultured bacterium
Lineage: Bacteria
Description: bacterial SSU rRNA
Rfam family: Bacterial small subunit ribosomal RNA (bases 1-534)
Source: RNAcentral
CCUACGGGAGGCAGCAGUAAGGAAUAUUGGUCAAUGGAGGCAACUCUGAACCAGCCAUGCCGCGUGCAGGAUGACGGCCCUAUGGGUUGUAAACUGCUUUUAUACAAGAGAAAACCCUGGUACGUGUACCAGGUUGAUAGUAUUGUAAGAAUAAGCAUCGGCUAACUUCGUGCCAGCAGCCGCGGUAAGACGAAGGAUGCAAGCGUUAUCCGGAUUCAUUGGGUUUAAAGGGUGCGUAGGCGGACUGAUAAGUCAGUGGUGAAAUCUCUUUGCUUAACAAAGAAACUGCCAUUGAUACUGUCGGUCUAGAGUAUAGAUGACGUUGGCGGAAUAUGACAUGUAGUGGUGAAAUACUUAGAUAUGUCAUAGAACACCGAUUGCGAAGGCAGCUAACGAAACUAUAACUGACGCUGAGGCACGAAAGUGCGGGGAUCAAACAGGAUUAGAUACCCUGGUAGUCCGCACCGUAAACGANANAUACUCGUUGUUGUGAUAUNNANNAGCGACCACGACGAAGACGANAAGUAAUACACCGCGGGAGGUACGCCGGCGACGGUAGAACGUACGAAAGGAAGUAGACGGACGAGAGACGAGCCGACGGACGACGACGAGGGGAGGAGGG